Melospiza melodia melodia is the source of this 301-nucleotide long non-coding RNA. RefSeq lists it as uncharacterized. The transcript has 3 exons. The record is from RefSeq and is a predicted model, not a curated record. NCBI's taxonomy places the organism in Eukaryota, Metazoa, Chordata, Aves, Passeriformes, Passerellidae.
AAGAAAGCUGCUGAAGUGCCAGAAAUGUGUACAUGCUCCAUGGGUGUGCUCAGGUGAUGCAGACCAGCAAGUCAUGGCUCUCUUGUACAACCCCAUUACUCAGGUUACUCCUGAAGAUCUGGAUUCAGCUGCCCUGCCCUGAUUUCAGUUUUCAGUUCUGACAUGGGAUGGCUUCUUUUACAGCUCCCUGUGAACAGUCAGAGACCAUUGAACUAAGAAUUCACUGAAGCCUGAAAAAGAAGACUAAAAAUGAUUCUCCAAGAAUUUUCAGAGGGAAAAUGAAGUUCUGGCUAUUGGAACA